CGUUUCUCUCUCGCUCUCUCUUACUUUCCGCCUCUUCCCGGCCUACAUCGCCGCCGCCCUUAAGCCCUAAAAAUCCCAUCCGUAGAGCAGUACACUUCCAUGACACUGAUUGUUUCAUCUAUUUCUAUCGAAUUCUGAGAAUGGUUGGCAGCUUCAAAGUUGUUAUGAAGGAAUUCAUUCUACUUAGAUUUGUCCUCCUCAGUUGCAACUAGUCACCCAGCUUGUGUUAAAUUUACAAGAAAAUGGAUCGCUGUGAUACUUCUGGAUUUGUUAGUGGGGG
This 280-nucleotide unclassified non-coding RNA is filed under the name Hevea brasiliensis (rubber tree). The record is from RNAcentral. Lineage: Eukaryota; Viridiplantae; Streptophyta; Magnoliopsida; Malpighiales; Euphorbiaceae.